Molecule: small nuclear RNA, 107 nt
Organism: Dromiciops gliroides (monito del monte)
Lineage: Eukaryota; Metazoa; Chordata; Mammalia; Microbiotheria; Microbiotheriidae
Source: RefSeq, a predicted model, not a curated record
GGGUACUUUCUUCAGUAGCCCAUUUACUGAAAUUGGAACAACACAGUGACGAUUAGCAUGAUCUCUGCACAAGGAUAACAUAAAAACUUGUGGUGUUCCAUAUUUUU